Molecule: long non-coding RNA, 1368 nt
Organism: Polyodon spathula (Mississippi paddlefish)
Lineage: Eukaryota; Metazoa; Chordata; Actinopteri; Acipenseriformes; Polyodontidae
Exons: 3
Source: RefSeq, a predicted model, not a curated record
AUCACUCUUGUGCCAUUUUGUCUGUGAUACUUCAACGCAGAACGUCAGAUAAACAAUCAAAAUGUGGAUUUUUUCAAACUUGAUACCCUUAUUGGCUUCACUAUCAUCUGUUCACUCUGACAUCACGCUGACCUCAUCUGCAUCAGAGAUUAAGAAGCCUGGAGAGUCCAUGAAGUUGUCCUGUAAAGCUUCAGGAUUCUCACUUGAUGUGUAUGCUGUAAACUGGAUUCCCCAGAGUUCUUCAUCUCUGAAGAUAUUCCCAACAGCAUGGUGUAUUUACAAACAAAGCCUGAAGACUGAAGACACUGCCAUGUAUUACUGUGCUCGACAGCCACAGUGAGAGAAGUAACCGUGAACCUAUACACAAACCAGCAGAGCAAGAGCCAGCCAGACUGUGUUUGAUUCCUGUGUGAACAGAGGGCUACGACGACUUCAGAGCAAGAGCUGGCCAUGGGGAAAACACAUCCAGGAGUUAUCUUUCUAUUGAUGCACUGAGUUCAUCAUUCAGAUCUCAAUAGGAUCAACUAGAUUAUGAGCUUGUACCCAGCAUCUGCAUUAACAGACGAAGGAUACCAAACAGAGACACCAGCUGGCUGGCAGAGGAGAGUGUAGCAUGCAUGGGGGUAGUCAGGGCUGGUGUCCGAUCCGCUAUUGAACUGACCCAGGCCGGCAUGGCAGUCAAGAAGCCGAGAGACUCUCAUGACUUGAAAUGUGCUGUCAGCGGAUUCCACAGGCUCCGAGCAGAGAGUGGGUAGAUUGCUAUGGCUCCCCUUCUCUCAAUAGCUAUGCCUCCGCCACCCAAGGAAGAUCCACCGCCUCAAAAGGACAGCUCCAAUUUCUACUUGCAAAAGACAAGCCUGAAACCUGAAGAGACCCGCCUGUAAAUUACUGUGCUCUGCACCACAGCGACAAGAACUCACGCUGAACCAACACUCAAACUAUGAAAGCAGGACUCCUUACACAACAUUACCACGUUUCAAUGUAAUUAGGCUAUCUCACCCUUUGAACACAUGGUUACAAAAAACCCCCCAAAAAACCGCCAAAAACACCAAAACACUCCCUGUUAAAUCAUUGUAUGUCUGACUGGUUGCAUGACUGGCAGCAUUUCUUCUGGGAUUUUCGUAAGCUAUUUUCUUUCCCAUCUACCUAACGGGAGGGAUUAACUACACAAAUAAUCGAUGUAUCGAUCGCUAGAGCACCGCCGGGUCCCGGUUUCUCCUUUCCUUCCACUUUCACGACAGGCAGGAAAAGGAGAGAGACAGGGAGCCAAUUUAAGAGGUUAAAUGUGAAGACACCGCUGUCUAUUACUGUACUGGAUGAAAACUCACGCUGAGCCAUUACACACAGCAACAAAGCCUGCGAUGCCCU